AUUGGACAAUGGGGGAAACCCUGAUCCAGCCAUGCCGCGUGUGUGAAGAAGGUCCUCGGAGUGUAAAGCCCUCUUAGUCGGGAGGAAGGGUUGUUGGCUAAUAUCCAGCAAUUUUGACGUCACCGACAGAAUAAGCAGCGGCUAACUCUGUUCCAGCAGCCGCGGUAAUACAGAGGGUGCAAGCGUUAAUCGGAAUUACUGGGCGUAAAGUGCGCGUAUGUAGGUCAGUAAUAAGGGUGUGAAAUCCCCGGGAUUAACCUGGGAACUGCUUUCAUAACUGCUGAGCUAGAGUACGGUAGGGGGUAGUGGAAUUUCCUGUGUAGCGGUGAAAUGCGUAGAUAUAGGAAGGAACACCAGUGGCGAAGGCGACUACCUGGACUGAUACUGACACUGAGGUGCGAAAGCGUGGUGAGCAAAC
Molecule: ribosomal RNA, 418 nt
Filed under: uncultured bacterium
Lineage: Bacteria
Description: partial 16S ribosomal RNA
Rfam family: Bacterial small subunit ribosomal RNA
Source: RNAcentral